CCUACGGGAGGCAGCAGUGAGGAAUAUUGGUCAAUGGCCGGAAGGCUGAACCAGCCAUGCCGCGUGAAGGUCAGUGCCCUAUGGGCGUUAAACUUCUUUUGUGCGGGAGCAAUAAUGGUCACGUGUGGCCAGACGAGAGUACCGUACGAAUAAGCAUCGGCUAACUCCGUGCCAGCAGCCGCGGUAAUACGGGGGAUGCAAGCGUUAUCCGGAUUUAUUGGGUUUAAAGGGGGCGUAGGCUGUGAGGUAAGUCAGCGGGGAAAUGCCCCCGGUCAACGGGGUGAAGUGCCAUUGAUUCUGCCUUGCUGGAAUGCGGAUGCCGUGGGAGGAAUGUGUGGUGUAGCGGUGAAAUGCAUAGAUAUCACACAGAACACCGAUUGCGAAGGCAUCUCACGAAUCCGCGAUUGACGCUGAUGCACGAAAGCGUGGGUAUCAAACAGGAUUAGAUACCCGGGUAGUC
RNAcentral lists this ribosomal RNA (460 nucleotides) under uncultured bacterium. RNAcentral's name for it is "partial 16S ribosomal RNA". It matches the Rfam family "Bacterial small subunit ribosomal RNA", at positions 338 to 795 of the family's 1533-position model. The record is from RNAcentral.